UACGUAGGUGGCAAGCGUUGUCCGGAUUUAUUGGGUUUAAAGGGUGCGUAGGUGGUCUAUUAAGUCAGUGCUGAAAUACCCCGGCUUAACCGGGAGGGUGGCAUUGAUACUGAUGGACUUGAGCAAAGUUGAGGUGGGCGGAAUUGACGGUGUAGCGGUGAAAUGCUUAGAUAUCGUCAAGAACACCUAUUGCGAAGGCAGCUCACUAAGCUCUAACUGACACUGAGGCACGAAAGUGUGGGGAUCAAACAGG
Molecule: ribosomal RNA, 253 nt
Filed under: uncultured bacterium
Lineage: Bacteria
Description: partial 16S ribosomal RNA
Rfam family: Bacterial small subunit ribosomal RNA
Source: RNAcentral